GACGAACGCUGGCGGCGUGCUUAACACAUGCAAGUCGAACGGAAAGGCCCUGCUUUUGUGGGGUGCUCGAGUGGCGAACGGGUGAGUAACACGUGAGUAGCCUGCCCUUGACUUUGGGAUAACUUCAGGAAACUGGGGCUAAUACCGGAUAGGAGCUCCUGCUGCAUGGUGGGGGUUGGAAAGUUUCGGCGGUUGGGGAUGGACUCGCGGCUUAUCAGCUUGUUGGUGGGGUAGUGGCUUACCAAGGCUUUGACGGGUAGCCGGCCUGAGAGGGUGACCGGCCACAAUGGGACUGAGAGACGGACCAGACUCGUACGGGAGGCAGCAGUGGGGAAUAUUGCACAAUGGGCGGAAGCCUGAUGCAGCAACGCCGCGUGCGGGAUGACGGCCUUCGGGUUGUAAACCGCUUUCGCCUGUGACGAAGCGGGAGUGACGGUAAUGGGUAAAGAAGCACCGGCUAACUACGUG
RNAcentral lists this ribosomal RNA (468 nucleotides) under uncultured bacterium. RNAcentral describes it as "partial 16S ribosomal RNA". It matches the Rfam family "Bacterial small subunit ribosomal RNA", at positions 28 to 507 of the family's 1533-position model. The record is from RNAcentral.